RNAcentral lists this small nuclear RNA (23 nucleotides) under Arabidopsis thaliana (thale cress). Its description in RNAcentral is "snRNA_08673". The record is from RNAcentral. Lineage: Eukaryota; Viridiplantae; Streptophyta; Magnoliopsida; Brassicales; Brassicaceae.
CUAAUUUCGUCGCCGUUCUAUAC